This 230-nucleotide long non-coding RNA is filed under the name Mustela putorius furo (domestic ferret). RNAcentral's name for it is "lncRNA (ENSMPUG00000025668.1)". The record is from RNAcentral. Lineage: Eukaryota; Metazoa; Chordata; Mammalia; Carnivora; Mustelidae.
UGAUUGGGGCCAGGGAGCUACAGGCGUUUGGACAGACAAGCCUGAAGAGUGAGCGACUGUGUCCCACUAUGCCGUUCCGGGAGGACAGAACAGAAGGCCCGGCCACCGAUGCGCAGGCGUGAUCCUCUGUCGGGUCCCUUUCCUUACAGCCUAGGAAUCCAGCUAGGCUCUGUGCCCCGCAUGGAGCACAACGCAGGGCUCGAACUCACCACCCUGAGAUCAAGACCUGA